AAAACGGUCCUUUUCAGGACCACCAAUACUGUUGAACAUUCCAAG
Non-coding RNA from Anopheles gambiae str. PEST, 45 nucleotides. NCBI's taxonomy places the organism in Eukaryota, Metazoa, Arthropoda, Insecta, Diptera, Culicidae. The record is from Rfam.